This 130-nucleotide small nucleolar RNA is filed under the name Mus pahari (shrew mouse). Its description in RNAcentral is "predicted gene, 24985 (MGP_PahariEiJ_G0034364.1)". It matches the Rfam family "Small nucleolar RNA SNORA17". From Rfam's summary of the family: snoRNA ACA 17 belongs to the H/ACA family of snoRNAs and is predicted to guide pseudouridylation of the 28S rRNA at positions U4659 and U4598. It shares the same host gene together with ACA43. The record is from RNAcentral. Lineage: Eukaryota; Metazoa; Chordata; Mammalia; Rodentia; Muridae.
UCCGUCCUAGAGGUGUUGCAGCUGUGGCUGCUGUGUCCAUGUGUAUCAGUAGGUAGCAGAGAGAAGAGGGGUUAGGUCUAUGUUCAGUGUUUUGACCUGUGAUCAUAUGAAUGAUUAGGAGUCCAACACU